This 71-nucleotide transfer RNA is filed under the name Marmota monax (woodchuck). RNAcentral's name for it is "tRNA.Val". Lineage: Eukaryota; Metazoa; Chordata; Mammalia; Rodentia; Sciuridae. The record is from RNAcentral.
GUGGUUGUGGCUCAGUGGAAGAGUGCUUGCCUAACAUGUGUGAGGCACUGGGUUCAAUUAUCAGCACCACA